AGAUAAUUCACAGUGAGAUUACCAUGAGCUCAUUAAAGUGCACGAACCCUCUGUUGGGCUUUUUACUGCAUGAAAACAAUUGAUUACUUAAAAAACGGUCCCACCCUUUCCUAAAAGCACACGAGUGUGUAUAUAGGCUGCUACCAACAGCUCACAUACACCCUGAAUAGGAAGCACAUCUCUCUGACGGACACAAUCUUUUUUUUGAAGGAGGAUAUCGCUUGCUGGACUUACAGAAGUGCAACAAGAUCGGUCAUUGUUAUCUGUGGAGAAACAUGGGAAACGAGAACUCCAAGAACAAAGAACUGCAGAACAGGAACGGCAGGAUUCCUGAGAAGCAUAUAAAUGGAUCAGCGAACGGCCUCUCUGCGAACCUCUCAUCUAACGGCUUGGAGAUUUCUGCUAACGGUGAGGCCGCAGUCCAGAAGAAUGGCGAGUCCUCUUCUUUAAAGCGUGCGACUGAACCAAAUGAUUUUGUCGUUGUGGAAUUAGACGGUAAAGCUGCUGACGCUCCAGUUAUUUCUGAAAUCCUUGAAAUCGUCAUCCACAAGGAAGAGGUCAGGGAAAGUGAAGGAGAUCAAACGGAUGUUAGUCUCCCUGCCACCAAUCUACAGACGGUGAGUACACUUUUCCUUGUUUGAAGGGUGAAUUCCAUAUUUGUCUCGUUGGCAACAAAUUCUAUGAAAAGAUUAAAAAAGCAAGUGUUGUCUGAGUUGCUUGGAUGCCUUGUUUAUUUGGACUCUACACACGUUCUACUGACAAAUAAGAGUUUAUCCACGACUGGAAAAGAAAUCCAGUUGUUACUCCUUGAGCAGUGUUACACAAAAACUAAAUGGCGCAGCAUUUUCAGAAAAUUAUUUAGCUGUUUUUAAAAAAUUGAACUGCAUAUUUUUGAGCCAAGUAGAAAGCUUUCCAUUUUUGAUAAAAGAUCAGAGACACGAUUAGAAGGGAAAUCAGCUCCUAUUAAGUAAAGGGACUGCAUUGAAGGAUUUGUUCACACAGGUUAAGCUAGAAUAAAUCCAGUCCAAUAUUUGAAGGUUUUCCAAUUUACAGAAAAAUCUGCAUGUCAGACUACCUCACAUGAAUUUAACGUCUCAAUUAAGCCAAAAUACAAAUUAAAAAAAAGAAAAAAAUAACCUAAUUUCUUUACUUAAUUGUUCUCAGUCACAAGGUAAUGAAACACAGGGUUGUCAUAUGUGUCCCGUAAUCAAAAACACAGUUGUUUUUUUAAAAAUCUAAACGCAAAUGGUUUUUUAUGAUCAAGGAGUCAACCUCAAGUGGAGAAGAAGCAGCCGCAGCGAUGAUCGCUGUGCACCUAGACAGCGUAGAGUGUCCGCUUCGAAAAGCUGAAACAUCAACACAAACAGACGGGACAACUGAGGCAGAUAUCUCGACACAAACGUAUAAGAACGAGGAAGUCGCAACCACCGAUAACGAGGUUCCUGUUGAAGAAGCAGUCUCCAUGGAGACUGGAUCAACUGAAGAAGACCCUCUAAAUGUGUCGGCCCGCGUCAUUGUUCAGGAUGACGGGGAGUCCUCCGACAACCAGGCCGCUCGGACCAUCAAUGAGGGGGUGGUCAUGUAUGAAAAUAUGGUGUUCAGACUGGAACGGGCAGAACUUGAUGGAACUGAGUCAAACAUCACUGCAGAACCAGGUUUUAACCCAAAAGUAUCCGAGAUUGAAGAGGAAACAGUUGCAGAGGAAAAUAACAUUGGAGAAACAUCGGCAUCGGAGGUCUAUUACAGCUUUCCUAAAGUGGUGGCAGAUUGUGUUGAGGUGGUUUUUGCGGAUGCGCCUCAGUCCACCGGCUUUGCUGCUGUGGACUCGUCAGUGCUUGCAGACGGAGUAGCUACUGGAGACAAUGGCGAAGGAGCUGGACACACGUCAGUCGAUGCCGUGCAGACUGAAACCGCCAAACAUCAGUCCACUGAGGCCCGGAAAGCAAAUGCCGUUCGUUCCUCAGCCACCGCGCUGAUGGAGACAAUCUCUGAGGUUGUUUGCGAGGCACCUGAUCCCGCACCAGCAGACCACGAUGCGCCCGCAGAGCAUUCUUCUGCCCGUCUUGCAGUAGCACUUCUAGUUAAGGCAGAAUCUGCCCAUGAGGAGGUCACCGCUGAUGAUGCUGUUGCAACGGAGAUUGUACCAGAAACACCUCAACAAGCAAAACUGGACGACGAGCCCUCAGAGAAGUGCGAUAGUUGCCCUGAGCAUGACAUCAUCACUGCAGAGGCUCCCAAUAAGCCUGCCAUCAUUGAGGAGCUUCCCGUGGAACCAGAAAGAUAUGAAGAAGCAGAACCAAGUCCCGUACUUGCCAAAGACAGUGCUGAGGCAAUGUGGGAAGCGGCAAUCAAUGCCCUCUCUGAAGACUUCAGAGAAGAAUCUAGCAGCCUGCCUCGGGAGGCUGCAGCGGCCAAAGGCUUACCUCUGAUAGAGGAGGUGAUCACCGCGUCAACUUUUGCAGGCCUUCCAGGGGGCCAAGAAGCAAGCAUUGCUGUUGCAGAGGAGCUUUUUAAGAGGGUCACUGCAGAGGCUUUAUCAAAUGCAACUGAAACAGUAGCAGAAGACGCCACAAACACUGGUGAGGAGCCUGCAGAUGUGCCGCCGAUGGACGCCACGGGAGAGCCCGAGCUUUGCGUUUCGGUCCAAGAGAGACUCAGAGACGAGAACGUCGCCCCGGCAGAAGUACCAGCCAAUUCCAGGAGUUUGAGCCAUCUCGAGCGCCGACCAAAGUCCAGCGCGCAGAUCGUCGCCAUGGAGACAAUUGAAGACGGGGCUGUGAGACAGAUAAUGCAUGAAACAGAUACUUCUGCGGUGGAUGUCUCCCAGAUUACCACUUUGGAUGAGGCUAUGUCAGAGAGUUUCGACGCUGUCCUUGAGGCCAUUGUGGAAGAAAUCAUUAACGAGGACGUCUUCUCAGCUGACGGCCGCCUCGUGACUUCAGACGAGGUGUCACCAGAGGCCUUUGUAGAGGAAGACGCUGAAGAGGAUGCAGAGAAGGAAUCAAGUGUGAACUCAUCAGAUCCAACAGUGGACUCACAAAGUGUCACAAGAACAGACAUGGAAGCUUUAGCUGUUAGUUUGCAGUCGGCGUGUAAAUCAGUUGUUGAAGAAUCGACAAAUAGGCCUGGUAGUUUAAUGCUUCCUUCACUAGGAUACAGUAUCACGGUUACUGUUCAUGUGGCGCCAAAGCAGUAAAAUCCUUGUCUGAACUUUUUUGUUGAAAAUGAUUGGUCUGCCUCCAGGAUGUAAUGUGUUAAAUGAUUGAUGCGAAAGUAAUUACAACCCAAUUGUAAAAUUAUUUGUGUUUUAUCAUAACAAGCAAGUCCCUCUGUUUUUUUAUGCUUUAUUAACACUUGCUGAUUUUCCAAUAAAAUGAAAAAUGAAACCGUUCAUGAUUUUCUUCAUCAUCUGUUUGCAUUCCUUUGGUCGGUGUCAGGUGACAAAUAAUACCUACUUUCAAAAAAGUAGGGCCACUAAUGACUUUGAAAAACAAUGAAUUAGACAUUUGAACGUUAGCAGAUUCACUAAUGAUCUUUAAAUCAGAGUUGGUCAACGAUAACCCAGCAUCAAAACCCAGCAAAGGUAUUUGCGUUUCCUGACAUUCUUUUCUCCGGGCAAAACUCUCACACAUUGUUGAAUAUCAAUGAGUGAGGGGUGGGACACACGCAUUGAUAAAAGGCCGAUUGUUGACAGUGCCCCGAGUAGGCAGAGGCAUGGUUGGAAUUGUGUACUCCCAUCUCAAUGCUGCGAUUAAGACCCUCACUGCUUGCAUUAUAAGCCACGCUGCUCUAACGCAAUACUCAAAGGCUAAUUCUUUGUGAUGGUGUAUAGGAGACAGCUAAGCAAAAGCAAGGGUCAGAAUCAUUGACGGAGCCAGAGAGUGUGACUCUAGACUCUGACGAGGGAAACCAGGAGGACAAUAACCCAGAAGAGAAUCCAGUUAUGAACUUCUUCAAAUCUCUAGUAAGUGACACAAUUUCAGAAUUAUGUGUGGUUUGUAUGCACUUUGUAUUUCUUAUUGCUUGUAAAAUUAGAUUCCGGGGAGUAAAUUGAAUAAUAAUUGCUUUGAUCAGACGUUUAAAAAAAACAAUCCACCUUUAUUAAAACCAGCUAUUACAGAAGGAAGACGACCGCUAAACAACGAUUACGUUAACUGGUGUUUGAAUUUUUACUGCAGAAAUUCAUGAAAACCCGUUGCUUUAACAGGUUUUCAACUCUUUUUCUUAAUAUUGUUAUUGUUGUUGAGGUAUAUAUAUAUAUAUAUAUAUAUGUUUAUUAAAAAAAAUGUUUAUGGCAGCAAAGGUAUCCAUGGCAAAAUGUGCAAUGACCACAGCGCCUGAUGGAGAAGCAUACAAGCAGCUAUUGUUUUGGCUCUUCAUAGUGCCGUCUUUGGGAUCCAUGCUGUUUUAAAGAGUUACCAUCGCACUAGCCCCAUGCUAAUCGAGUCUCUGAACAUGCGGGAAUGUGGGGGCCUAUUGUUCGGCCCAUCGCGUGAGCUCACAAGGGACGCCUGUGCGUUUGGACGUUGAGAUUUGUGAGGAUGGAGCGAGGGCAGGCCUACGCCGUCCCCGGAGCACAAUGGCUAUCACAAUGACAGCGCACGUACUGUAUGUGCUCUGUCGGGGGACCUCAGGGUGCCUCAGUCAGCUUAUCAUAAAGGCCCAUGUCUGCAUUCGCGCUGAUCCUGUUUUACACUGCAGCUCGACGCUUUCGUCAAAUUGAGAUUCAACGUAUUGUGUGACGUGAAUACAAGUGAUUUAAGGCGGUUAAUUGUUCUUUCCUUGUUGUACAGACGACUUCCAAAAUAACCAAAAAGGAAACAGCUGCUCCUGUUGCCAUAAAAGACCAGGUGACGCAGAUGUUUAUGAAGGAUUGUGUGAUUUUAAAUGAUUCAUUCAUUAUGACAGUACCACCAGGGGAUUUCCCAGCAGAGUUCCCAGUUAUAAGUUUCAAUAACCAGUUUUAUAUCACAAAUGUUUUUGUUAACAAAGCCAGAUCAGUGAGCUCAGUAAUGUAAUGGUUGAUUAUGUGUUGAAAUCAUUUUUUGCCACAUGCCUUGUAUGAAUUUAUGUUUGAUUUCUCUGAUGCCCAAAAACAUUUAACCAGUAGCUUCUCCAAACUAUUUAUAGGACAUUACAAGCUUUUUUGCAUGUUUUUUUUUGCAUACGUUUAACGUUAUUUCUCACUGCUUCCCUUUUUCUGUUGCAAAAUAGUCCCAGAAGGAGAACCAACCAGCAGCAACCACUACCGUGAGCUCAUUGCCCAAAUAGUGUUUUAUUUCCCUAAAAAGCAUAUGUUUGUCGGGCCAUAUUGGUUUCAGUUUAGUUUCAGAAAUUCUACUUUAUUUUCUAAUGUUGCAUACUAAUUCAAUUUGUGAUAGUUUAUGUUGGAUGAAUACUUAGUUGCUAAACCGAAUCAAUCACUGCUUUGUCAUUGUGUAACAGGCGUAUAGUGUUAAAGGUGACUCCGUGCAUUACUUUAACAACCUCUCUCUCUUGAAUAGGUCGCACAAGUAUCUGAGCCGCCUGCAGCGCCCAAAGGAAUGUCUAUCCCACCGCCACCUCCUCCAGAGCCACCAAAAAUGGAUAUCAAGGCAGAACCAGCUGCUAAACCUGUCAAGGCCACACCAAGAGAAGAAGCAAAAGCUGUUGCCAAGCAACCCCAGUCCUCCAAAGGAAAAUCAGCAACUCUAAGCAAAUUUUUCCGUUCAAAGGUAAAUUAACAGCGAAGACAAGACAAGAUGGUGUAGGUGAUUCAUGGAGACUUUCAGUGAGUCCACGGAGAAAUCUGAUUAUAACAGAAAUAUAUGUGAAUAUGAGGUACUGCUACGUGACGAGACAUGUGAGGUCCAGGGUGCUUCAGCAUGUGGAGACAAUGCCCCCUCAAGUUGCCAGCAGUGGUACAGUGUCACAUUAUUAUAUUCUCAAAGUGGCCGUGGCUCAUCCUGUUACUUACUGAACAAGAGCUGGUUUGUCUGGAAGAGGCUGAAACAGGACAACUUGCUGUUUCCAUAUCGGAACCUGCAGCGAUCGUGUCAGCUGAUAUGCACAUAGUUUUGAACCAUAUCCAGGCCAAUCAGAUUUUUGUUCUUUGCAAGUCUUUCAAAAUGUUGACUUUGCAGCCAGUUCCUCGGUCAAACGGCCUCGCCUUAGUGCAGCUGUUUCUACCACAGACCAUUUUUCCAUAAUACUUUAUGUUCCCAACAUUUAAAUUGCAUUAGUGAAUUAAUCAGUAACAUUGUGUUUCGUUUUGGGACGUACAACUAUCUGGCUUACUUGCCAAGAGUUUAGACGAGGGGAUCAAUACCACCAUCGUUUCUGUAAGCUAAGUAUGGAGUUAGAAUCGGACAAUUGGCCGAGAACAAAGGCUCUUUGUGUGCUUUGGAAGGAGCAGUACUGUCUUCCAGUAUUUAUGCUGUGCUAAGUUACGGUCAUGAGAAAGGUUUUGACCUGCCAACUUUUGGUGAAGUAUAAUAUUUUCCACAAAAAUGUCACAUUAUUCCUUUAACCAAUUCUUAUUAGUUAGCGUCCAUUGUCAGGCUAACAUUCAAAUUACAACAUGCAAACAUUUCUUUUCCUUUUCGGUUCUGUUGGCUUUUUACUAACAAUAACAUUUCCCCCACCGUCCUGCAGACAAACAAGGAGUCCCCACCAAAGCCAGACAUUGAAGUAGACGUACAACAAGUUGUAGAAGUAGAGGUAAUCCAGAGAGCAUGCCCAAUCUUCUCAGAUGUAUUCAUGGCUUGCUAAUGUGUUUAAUGCACGAGUGCAGUGGUUCUUGUUUUGAAUCAUCUUAUAAUUGGUUACAUUUGCGGUCAGAAAAUUCGGCCAGAUUAAGUACAUUUCAGCAUGUUUCCUUGUCCAUUUUACUUUGCAUCUCAGAAUAAAAAAGUAGCUUUGUUCUGCAGGAGACACCAGUGGAAGCUCCUGAGCCAGUUGUUUUAGAAGUCAAGGUAAAUCGAAGGACAGUUGUUCAUUUGGGGCUUAAGUCUUUUAUGAGGGGUAGAUUAUGUGAUUAUCUUGGCAUCACCAUGUACUACACUGCAAAAAAAAAUUGCAUUCCAUGAAAUUGACAUAUUGUUGUUCAUCUGCAUUUGCUCAGAGUGAAAAUAAUGUUGACCCCCAUGACUCAGCAGAGCAGGUGGCCCAGCCUGUUGUACAAGAGCAGGUAAAUUUCUGUUGCAUUUCAUGCACCAUGCAAAAAAGGGAAAUAAAUAAUUCCCCUUUCGUGCAGAUGGUAGCAGAUGUACCACAGCCCGUGGUAGCGGCGGAGAUAAAUCAACAGUUUGGGAUCUUCUGCUUUCAUGCUUCCUUGUCGAGAGUUAGAUGAGAAGAACGCUCUCAUCUGCCUCUGUUAAAUUUGAGGCGUCAGCUAGUAGCAGAUUAGAUUAGAUUAGUUUAGUUUAGCACAGAGGCUUAAAUGUGCCUGUCUGUUAAACAGCAUUGCUCUGUCCGAUGCUGAAAAGAUUCACUUAUUGGCAGUUUUUAAGCUAUUUUUUGUUGGAUAAACAAAUUAAAUGGUUUAUUAGUGUUAAAGAGAAACAAAUGGUAACUUUUGCAUGGAGCCCAAAGAUGGUUUUAAGCUGUUUCAAUUCCUAAUGAAACUUCAAGUCAAAAGUCUCCUGCAUCAUACAGCAUAGGAAAGAUAUUAAAAACGGUCUUCUCAUCACUUGGCAAUAAAGCAAAUUCCCUCAUUUCCCUAUGGGUCAAUCAUUCAAGGGAGGAAUCUUCAGUGGAGACAUUCACUUUACUAUUUCCUUUUAUUUCUUCCCUUGCAAGCAGUAAUAUUAUAUACCUAUGUGCAUGAUUCUGCGGAUCUCUACACUUACAGAUUCUUUCACCUCCUUUCUGCUCUGACUCUGCCUGGAAUCUCUGCCCUUACCUCUUCGUUUUUUCACAGGUGGCAAAUGCUUCCCCGUACUCCGUCCGCCUCAAUGCUGGUCCUAACGCUUCCGUACCUCAUGUGUAUUUUCUUUUCUGCUGUUUUGAUAAAAGAAGGUGGAUUCUUCAAAAGCUGGCACUUUGGAGGCUGCAGCGAAACCAGAACCGCCGCCGCCUGUGCAGGAAGCACAGAAAACUGCCUCAACAUCCUCCUUCUUUUCUCUCUUCAAGCCUAAAGCCGCUGAUCCCAAAAAGGCGAGUCCUGCCCCGGCUGCAGCCCCAGAGACAGUGAAAGCCAAGGAGGAACCCAAAGCAGCAGCCAAGUUAUCCGAGGCCGUGGUAGAUAAUAAACCUGCUUCAGUGGCCUCCCAGGCCGCAGGUGAUGCAGCCAAGGCGCCAAAGAAACUGGAGAAGAGGAACUCCAUCCAUCAGUUCUUUAAAAUUCUGGGCCAGAAGCGUAACUCGACAGAUGCCGGGAUCCAGACAGAGACGCUCGCUGUCGCUCCGGUACCCGAGAAGGUCAAAUGAAACCAAAAGCGAGAGUGAAGUUUCCCUGUACAGACUCCUUCUCUUUUUCUUGCCCUUACUCGGUUUUCAUGUGCCUCAUCUGUCUCAUUAUUCUUUAAACUCUUAUAGAAUUGCUUUAACUACAUUUUGAUUUUGUUAUUGUUCAUAAGUUACAAUACGCACGGAAUAGUGAGCGGAAAGGCAAAGGCAAGUAGUGAGAAAGACACACAGCAGGUAGUUGCACAAGUGGUGAUUUGAAAUGGUCCAUGGUGAGGUUGUUGAGAUAUUUACAGUAUAUACAGUACAUAUUGUGUUUGGACCCUGUGCCUUGACAAGUAUAGCAAAAUCAGUGUGAAAUCUUUUCUACAGACAUUUAAUGUAACUUCUCUCUGUUCUUGCACAUGAAACAGAAGGUAAAAGGCAUCGCUUUUAGCUUUGUGUUUGUCAAAAAAAAACAUUUAAAAAAGGUUCUAUUUUUUACAGUUCACACAAAAGAAAAUCACGCAGCUGUGGCCGUGCAGAGGUUCCCACGAAAUUGCAUCGCACUUAAAUCCAUAUGUGAUAUAUUAACAUUAACAGCUCUGAAAAGAGCAAAUAAGAAGAGCAUCUUAGUGUAACAAGAAGCACUUAGCAGUCAAGUAUCUGUAUCGAGGGUGAUGGGGAACUGGCUAUAUGCGUAAAAAAAUGCAUCUGAGAGAUGUGUCUUUGUGCUACGUUUUUACUAAUGACUCACAGUUGAUUAGUUUUACAUUUGAACUUUGUCUCAUGUAACUCAGUGGAAGUCUUGUAGCGUCAGUCAGCAAUUAACAUCACGCUUUUGGUGGCCUUGCUUGAUGUAUGCAUGUGUGUGCGUGUGUGUAACUUCAGCUAUCCUGAAGACAAUAAACCUGUUUAUCAUUCGUUGUAUCUUCAUGUGUGUACGCGGCAACUGAGAAACCCCGUGAAGAAUAACCGGCUGUUGCAUUCGGCAUCUGCCAAAAUAUGCACCUCAGUAAGUUUGGCAAAAAAAAAUAAAAAAUCACACAUCAAAUCUUAUAAUAAAUAUUUUAAUUCACACUAAACUAAACUCAUAAGGCGUGACACAUGAGUCCUACCUUGGGCGUCGGUGGAAAUACUGCCAGCCUUACUCACCCAUGGGUUUAUUUUGUUGGCUGAAAAACAAGUGACGGUGAUGACGGGCAGGGCCGUACAAACCAAAACUCACCUCAGAGCCGCCCGCCGUCCGCCCGCCCGCCUGAUGGACGGAGAGCCGUCUGCGGUCCGUCACUACCAAAUAUUACAUUCAGAGACACCUUAGAGAUAAAAAGAUGUUAAACGAGAUCUAAGGAAUUGUUUCAGGUAAAGCAAAGCCUCCCAUACUCUAUUUUCAUUUAUGAGGUAAUUCCAAUGAUGGAGGAUGUGUUUUAAAUAGUAUUAUGUCAUGAGUCGCGGCCCCCUUAAAGGCAUAACUCACGCUGCACCUUUAUUAUCAACGAAACGCACUCUUUUUGCGUUACCCUCUGUGAUGGUUGUGAUCAUUUUAAAUUGUGCAUCAAAGUAAUUGACAUGGCACUUAAGGGGAAACAGUGAGGUAUUGCCUGCACAGUUUAAUCCAUGUGGUCAAGUCCUCUCCUCUGGGGAUUGUUAAGAGGAAUAUGUGACUCUUUGCCAACUGUAUUGCUGUACAGUGUGAAGUUCACCACUAACUACCAUUCUCCUAAAAUAAAACACUGGACAGUACCCACAGUGC
This is a long non-coding RNA of Gasterosteus aculeatus aculeatus (three-spined stickleback), 10117 nucleotides long. Lineage: Eukaryota; Metazoa; Chordata; Actinopteri; Perciformes; Gasterosteidae. The record is from Ensembl.